This 495-nucleotide ribosomal RNA is filed under the name uncultured bacterium. RNAcentral's name for it is "bacterial SSU rRNA". It matches the Rfam family "Bacterial small subunit ribosomal RNA", at positions 903 to 1397 of the family's 1533-position model. The record is from RNAcentral.
AAAUGAAUUGACGGGGACCCGCACAAGCAGCGGAGCAUGUGGUUUAAUUCGAAGCAACGCGAAGAACCUUACCAGGGCUUGACAUCCUGCUGAAAGCUUGUUUAACUGCAAGCCUUCUUUUAGACAGCAGAGACAGGUGGUGCAUGGUUGUCGUCAGCUCGUGUCGUGAGAUGUUGGGUUAAGUCCCGCAACGAGCGCAACCCUUGCCUUUAGUUGCCAACAGUUAAAGCUGGGGACUCUAAAGGGACCGCCGGGGAUAACUCGGAGGAAGGUGGGGAUGACGUCAAAUCAUCAUGCCCCUUAUGUUCUGGGCUACACACGUGCUACAAUGGCCGGUACACAGAGCAGCAAAGUCGCGAGACGGAGCCAAACUCUAAAGCCGGUCCCAGUUCGGACUGCAGGCUGCAACUCGCCUGCACGAAGCAGGAGUUGCUAGUAAUCGUGAAUCAGCACGUCACGGUGAAUGCGUUCCCGGGUCUUGUACACACCGCCCGU